AGUGAACGCUGGCGGUAGGCCUAACACAUGCAAGUCGAACGGCAGCACAGUAAGAGCUUGCUCUUACGGGUGGCGAGUGGCGGACGGGUGAGGAAUACAUCGGAAUCUACUUUUUCGUGGGGGAUAACGUAGGGAAACUUACGCUAAUACCGCAUACGACCUACGGGUGAAAGCAGGGGAUCUUCGGACCUUGCGCGAUUGAAUGAGCCGAUGUCGGAUUAGCUAGUUGGCGGGGUAAAGGCCCACCAAGGCGACGAUCCGUAGCUGGUCUGAGAGGAUGAUCAGCCAAACUGGAACUGAGACACGGUCCAGACUCCUACGGGAGGCAGCAGUGGGGAAUAUUGGACAAUGGGCGCAAGCCUGAUCCAGCCAUACCGCGUGGGUGAAGAAGGCCUUCGGGUUGUAAAGCCCUUUUGUUGGGAAAGAAAAGCAGCAGGUUAAUACCCCGCUGUUCUGACGGUACCCAAAGGAUAAGCACCGGCUAACUUCGUG
RNAcentral lists this ribosomal RNA (492 nucleotides) under uncultured bacterium. RNAcentral's name for it is "partial 16S ribosomal RNA". It matches the Rfam family "Bacterial small subunit ribosomal RNA", at positions 29 to 507 of the family's 1533-position model. The record is from RNAcentral.